RNAcentral lists this long non-coding RNA (207 nucleotides) under Nicotiana benthamiana. RNAcentral's name for it is "long non-coding RNA (NBEN_LNC026475)". Lineage: Eukaryota; Viridiplantae; Streptophyta; Magnoliopsida; Solanales; Solanaceae. The record is from RNAcentral.
AAUAGCGUAAAUAAUUAUCUAAACAUAAGAAACAUAAAUACAAUCGCAUGCAAUAAUAUCAUACAGUAACUACCAUAACUAACAACCAUAGGGGGCACAUAAGCUAAAACACAAAUCAUCUAUGGGUGACCCUGCUGACCCACACCCAACCCCGGAUGAGGAGUACGAAAAAUUCUAGGAGCCCCUAUCCUACAACCCUGAUUCUAG